RNAcentral lists this ribosomal RNA (2901 nucleotides) under Streptococcus thermophilus ND03. RNAcentral's name for it is "bacterial LSU rRNA". It matches the Rfam family "Bacterial large subunit ribosomal RNA". Lineage: Bacteria; Bacillati; Bacillota; Bacilli; Lactobacillales; Streptococcaceae. The record is from RNAcentral.
AGGUUAAGUUAAUAAGGGCGCACGGUGGAUGCCUUGGCACUAGAAGCCGAUGAAGGACGUGACUAACGACGAAAUGCUUUGGGGAGCUGUAAGUGAGCAAUGAUCCAGAGAUGUCCGAAUGGGGGAACCCGGCAGGUAAUGCCUGUCACUCAUUACUGUUAAGGUAAUGUAGAGGAAGACGCAGUGAACUGAAACAUCUAAGUAGCUGUAGGAAGAGAAAGCAAAAGCGAUUGCCUUAGUAGCGGCGAGCGAAACGGCAAGAGGGCAAACCGAAGAGUUUACUCUUCGGGGUUGUAGGACUGCAACGUGGACUUAAAGAUUAUAGAAGAACUACCUGGGAAGGUAGGCCAAAGAGAGUAAUAGCCUCGUAUUCGAAAUAGUCUUUAUACCUAGCAGUAUCCUGAGUACGGCGAGACACGAGAAAUCUCGUCGGAAUCUGGGAGGACCAUCUCCCAACCCUAAAUACUCUCUAGUGACCGAUAGUGAACCAGUACCGUGAGGGAAAGGUGAAAAGCACCCCGGGAGGGGAGUGAAAUAGAACCUGAAACCGUGUGCCUACAACAAGUUCGAGCCCGUUAAUGGGUGAGAGCGUGCCUUUUGUAGAAUGAACCGGCGAGUUACGAUAUGAUGCGAGGUUAAGUUGAAGAGACGGAGCCGUAGGGAAACCGAGUCUUAAUAGGGCGCAUUAGUAUCAUGUCGUAGACCCGAAACCAUGUGACCUACCCAUGAGCAGGUUGAAGGUGAGGUAAAACUCACUGGAGGACCGAACCAGGGCACGUUGAAAAGUGCUUGGAUGACUUGUGGGUAGCGGAGAAAUUCCAAACGAACUUGGAGAUAGCUGGUUCUCUCCGAAAUAGCUUUAGGGCUAGCGUCGAUGUUAAGUCUCUUGGAGGUAGAGCACUGUUUGGGUGAGGGGUCCAUCCCGGAUUACCAAUCUCAGAUAAACUCCGAAUGCCAAUGAGAUAUAAUCGGCAGUCAGACUGCGAGUGCUAAGAUCCGUAGUCGAAAGGGAAACAGCCCAGACCACCAGCUAAGGUCCCAAAAUAUAUGUUAAGUGGAAAAGGAUGUGGGGUUGCACAGACAACUAGGAUGUUAGCUUAGAAGCAGCUAUUCAUUCAAAGAGUGCGUAAUAGCUCACUAGUCGAGUGACCCUGCGCCGAAAAUGUACCGGGGCUAAAACAUAUUACCGAAGCUGUGGAUACCUUUAUAGGUAUGGUAGGAGAGCGUUCUAUGUGCGAAGAAGGUGUACCGUGAGGAGUGCUGGAGCGCAUAGAAGUGAGAAUGCCGGUAUGAGUAGCGAAAGACAGGUGAGAAUCCUGUCCACCGUAAGACUAAGGUUUCCAGGGGAAGGCUCGUCCGCCCUGGGUUAGUCGGGACCUAAGGAGAGACCGAAAGGUGUAUCCGAUGGACAACAGGUUGAUAUUCCUGUACUAGAGUAUAUAGUGAUGGAGGGACGCAGUAGGCUAACUAAACCAGACGAUUGGAAGUGUCUGGCCAAGCAGUGAGGUGUGAUAUGAGUCAAAUGCUUAUAUCUUUAACAUUGAGCUGUGAUGGGGAGCGAAGUUUAGUAGCGAAGUUAGUGAUGUCACACUGCCGAGAAAAGCUUCUAGCGUUAAUUAUACUCUACCCGUACCGCAAACCGACACAGGUAGUCGAGGCGAGUAGCCUCAGGUGAGCGAGAGAACUCUCGUUAAGGAACUCGGCAAAAUGGCCCCGUAACUUCGGGAGAAGGGGCGCUGACUGAUGGUCAGCCGCAGUGAAUAGGCCCAAGCAACUGUUUAUCAAAAACACAGCUCUCUGCUAAAUCGUAAGAUGAUGUAUAGGGGGUGACGCCUGCCCGGUGCUGGAAGGUUAAGAGGAGUGCUUAGCGUAAGCGAAGGCAUGAAUUGAAGCCCCAGUAAACGGCGGCCGUAACUAUAACGGUCCUAAGGUAGCGAAAUUCCUUGUCGGGUAAGUUCCGACCCGCACGAAAGGCGUAAUGAUUUGGGCACUGUCUCAACGAGAGACUCGGUGAAAUUUUAGUACCUGUGAAGAUGCAGGUUACCCGCGACAGGACGGAAAGACCCCAUGGAGCUUUACUGCAGUUUGAUAUUGAGUAUCUGUACCACAUGUACAGGAUAGGUAGGAGCCUAUGACCUCGGGACGCCAGUUUCGAGUGAGGCGUUGUUGGGAUACUACCCUUGUGUUAUGGCUACUCUAACCCAGAUAGGUUAUCCCUAUCGGAGACAGUGUCUGACGGGCAGUUUGACUGGGGCGGUCGCCUCCUAAAAGGUAACGGAGGCGCCCAAAGGUUCCCUCAGAAUGGUUGGAAAUCAUUCGCAGAGUGUAAAGGUAUAAGGGAGCUUGACUGCGAGAGCUACAACUCGAGCAGGGACGAAAGUCGGGCUUAGUGAUCCGGUGGUUCCGUAUGGAAGGGCCAUCGCUCAACGGAUAAAAGCUACCCUGGGGAUAACAGGCUUAUCUCCCCCAAGAGUUCACAUCGACGGGGAGGUUUGGCACCUCGAUGUCGGCUCGUCGCAUCCUGGGGCUGUAGUCGGUCCCAAGGGUUGGGCUGUUCGCCCAUUAAAGCGGCACGCGAGCUGGGUUCAGAACGUCGUGAGACAGUUCGGUCCCUAUCCGUCGCGGGCGUAGGAAAUUUGAGAGGAUCUGCUCCUAGUACGAGAGGACCAGAGUGGACUUACCGCUGGUGUACCAGUUGUUCUGCCAAGAGCAUCGCUGGGUAGCUAUGUAGGGAAGGGAUAAACGCUGAAAGCAUCUAAGUGUGAAGCCCACCUCAAGAUGAGAUUUCCCAUGAUUUUAUAUCAGUAAGAGCCCUGAGAGAUGAUCAGGUUGAUAGGUUAGAAGUGGAAGUGUGGUGACACAUGUAGCGGACUAAUACUAAUAGCUCGAGGACUUAUCCAA